GAUUUCUGGUUUGACAUGCCUGGCCCGCCACGUCACCGUGUGUGAGUGCCGGUGCGUGUCUGCCAUCCUUCUGGGUUAUCAACCCUGUCUGCCCUUCACUGGGUUGGAUAGGGUCGAUCCAGAUCAUUUACUUUGAAAAAAUUAGAGUGUUUAAAGCAGGCUUACGCUAUGAAUACAUUAGCAUGGAAUAAUAAUUUAGGACUUUGGUCCUAUUUUGUUGGUUUCUAGGACUGAAGUAAUGAUUGAUAGGGAUAGUUGGGGGUGCUCGAAUUCAGCGGCCAGAGGUGAAAUUCUUGGAUUCGCUGAAGACGAACUCAUGCGAAAGCAUU
Molecule: ribosomal RNA, 329 nt
Filed under: Kraken sp.
Lineage: Eukaryota; Cercozoa
Description: SSU rRNA
Rfam family: Eukaryotic small subunit ribosomal RNA (bases 117-329)
Source: RNAcentral